This 429-nucleotide ribosomal RNA is filed under the name Chloroflexota bacterium. RNAcentral's name for it is "Chloroflexi bacterium partial 16S ribosomal RNA". It matches the Rfam family "Bacterial small subunit ribosomal RNA", at positions 355 to 776 of the family's 1533-position model. The record is from RNAcentral. Lineage: Bacteria; Bacillati; Chloroflexota.
UGGGGAAUAUUGCACAAUGGGCGCAAGCCUGAUGCAGCCAUGCCGCGUGUAUGAAGAAGGCCUUCGGGUUGUAAAGUACUUUCAGUCGGGAGGAAGGUGGUAAGGUUAAUAACCUUGCCAAUUGACGUUACCGACAGAAGAAGCACCGGCUAACUCCGUGCCAGCAGCCGCGGUGAUACGGAGGGUGCAAGCGUUAAUCGGAAUUACUGGGCGUAAAGCGCACGCAGGCGGUUGAUUGAGUCAGAUGUGAAAUCCCCGGGCUUAACCCGGGAAUUGCAUCUGAUACUGGUCAGCUAGAGUCUUGUAGAGGGGGGUAGAAUUCCAUGUGUAGCGGUGAAAUGCGUAGAGAUGUGGAGGAAUACCGGUGGCGAAGGCGGCCCCCUGGACAAAGACUGACGCUCAGGUGCGAAAGCGUGGGGAGCAAACAGG